CUCCCUACUAUUUUCUUUCUGCUGUUUCGUGUGUUUUGAGUCAGUUGGAGCAAGAAAAACGCAGAUGCUCCGACUUCCAGAGCCUCCUCGCUCCAGGUAAAACCACCCGACUCCACUCCCUUCUCUGCGGAAAGCACUAGCAGAAAGAAAGGAGGCCAAAGAGCAGGGCAGAUUCCAUUUUUGGUCAAUAGCCUUUGGGACUCAAAACAAGCUGGAUUCAUUCUUUAAUAUCCUGCCAAGCCUUCAGGUUUAUGCUGUGGACACAUUCAAUAUUUUUAGUGAGAUUUAUGCCUAGAACAGAACUU
RNAcentral lists this long non-coding RNA (305 nucleotides) under Carassius auratus (goldfish). RNAcentral describes it as "lncRNA (ENSCARG00000055311.1)". Lineage: Eukaryota; Metazoa; Chordata; Actinopteri; Cypriniformes; Cyprinidae. The record is from RNAcentral.